CGAAGGGGCGUAGCGUUGCUCGGAAUUACUGGGCGGUAAAGGGAGGCGUAGGCGGACAUUUAAGUUCAGGGGUGGAAAUACCCGGGGCCGUCAAACCUCGGAAUUGCCUUUGUAUACUGGGUGUCUUGAGUAUGAGAGAGGUGUGUGGAACUCCGAGUGUAGAGGUGAAAUUCGUAGAUAUUCGGAAGAACACCAGUGGCGAAGGCGACACACUGGCUCAUUACUGACGCUGAGGCUCGAAAAGCGUGGGGGAGCAAACAGGAUU
Molecule: ribosomal RNA, 265 nt
Filed under: uncultured bacterium
Lineage: Bacteria
Description: partial 16S ribosomal RNA
Rfam family: Bacterial small subunit ribosomal RNA
Source: RNAcentral